This 496-nucleotide ribosomal RNA is filed under the name uncultured bacterium. RNAcentral's name for it is "partial 16S ribosomal RNA". It matches the Rfam family "Bacterial small subunit ribosomal RNA", at positions 29 to 507 of the family's 1533-position model. The record is from RNAcentral.
AUGAACGCUGGCGGCGUGCCUAAUACAUGCAAGUCGAGCGAACAGACGAGGAGCUUGCUCCUCUGACGUUAGCGGCGGACGGGUGAGUAACACGUGGAUAACCUACCUAUAAGACUGGGAUAACUUCGGGAAACCGGAGCUAAUACCGGAUAAUAUAUUGAACCGCAUGGUUCAAUAGUGAAAGACGGUUUUGCUGUCACUUAUAGAUGGAUCCGCGCCGCAUUAGCUAGUUGGUAAGGUAAUGGCUUACCAAGGCGACGAUGCGUAGCCGACCUGAGAGGGUGAUCGGCCACACUGGAACUGAGACACGGUCCAGACUCCUACGGGAGGCAGCAGUAGGGAAUCUUCCGCAAUGGGCGAAAGCCUGACGGAGCAACGCCGCGUGAGUGAUGAAGGUCUUCGGAUCGUAAAACUCUGUUAUUAGGGAAGAACAAAUGUGUAAGUAACUAUGCACGUCUUGACGGUACCUAAUCAGAAAGCCACGGCUAACUACGUG